ACUUUCCAGGUGUUUAAAUGACACAGCCCAGUUCUGUGGUGACGCAGAGAAAAAUUACGGUGAUGUGCCCAAAAACACUGUCAUCUGUUCUGCCACCAACACCAUGUCCAAGCUCUUCAGAUCAGAUUACUCCAAGGAUGAACAAUUCACAGGCUUCCAGGCAUUUUUUUCUGCUGAAGACAUUAAUAUGUGCCUGAGCACUGUGGAUGGAGAGCCUGUGUGUGACCAUAAUUGCCAUAAUUAUGUUGGGGCUUUUACUGCGCUUGCAGAUUGGGAUACCAACUCCAUGAUGAUAAAGGACACUGCCCUGGUGUUUCAGGAGAGGUCAGGAGAACUGAGCAGUCCAGAGUACCCAGGUGUUUACCCCAAGAUGAGCCAGUGUGAUUAUAAUAUCAGUUUUGAUGGAAGGCUUUCAAGUAACCUUUUUGAUCUGGAGAUUCAUCCUGAAAUCCACUGCCCUUAUGACAUCCUUAAGAUCACUGCAGGUGAGAGGGAGUACGGCCCAUUUUAUGGCAAGACCCCACAAAGAAAAAUAGAGACGGGAACUCACAAAGUGCAUGUGACCUUCCGCUCAGACCACUCGGAGAAAAACAAAGACUGGAAGAUCAAGUAUUCCAGAACGGGGGGAAGAUGCUUUGCCCUUUUAUCAAGCCAAAUGCCUGAAGGGUGGAUUUUGGAAUGGACAGAUGCCUCGCUACAUCAGUAAAUUGUUCAAGAAUCCCAGAUAAGCAUGAAGUGUACAUAAUCGUCAAUGGGGGUUUACUUGUGUACCAAAGAGGAGGUACGUUUUAAAACCUGCAGCUGAAGAUGGGCAUAGUCGAACAACAUGACAACGAGGCAGUAGUUGGUAUUCCACAGAAAAUCUUCAUUCACCCUCAAUACCAUCACGAUAAUAUUAACUUCAACCAUGGCACUGCCCUG
This is an RNA transcript of Carassius carassius (crucian carp), 921 nucleotides long. It is a transcript of the gene named MBL associated serine protease 2, with no coding region annotated. The transcript is spliced from 6 exons. The record is from RefSeq and is a predicted model, not a curated record. NCBI's taxonomy places the organism in Eukaryota, Metazoa, Chordata, Actinopteri, Cypriniformes, Cyprinidae.